GGGCCUAUAGCUCAGUUGUAGGGCAUUUCACUUCUUUAGAAGAGGUCGCCAGUUUGAACCUGUUCGGGCCCU
Molecule: non-coding RNA, 72 nt
Organism: Picea glauca (white spruce)
Lineage: Eukaryota; Viridiplantae; Streptophyta; Pinopsida; Pinales; Pinaceae
Source: Rfam